AAAUAGGGUCAAAACAGACUUUUGUGUUUACGAAGUGUGUGUCUGUGCUAAAGUUCUAUCAAUGUUAUUUUAUACACGUCUGGUUAUUUGGAAGCUAGAUGAAUAUAGUUAAUCACUUUUAUAGCCUUCCUUUUUCACUAAGUCUUUGCUUUGUUGCUGUUUCUGACGUGGAAAAUCUGAUGCUUCUUUUUCUAGUUCCUCUUUAACCCUUUAAUAGAAUGUGAUAGAAUCUACAGGAGAUGGAACAGCAUUUGGUUAAUCUGUUCCUCCUUCAGCAUAAGCUGAAAUUCAGCUGCAGUCAGUUCCUGGAGAAGGAACCCUUAUCAAGCUGUAGAUGUCCCUGCUCAUUGCAGGGGAGUUGGACCAGAUAACCUUCAAGGGUCCCUUACAGCUCAAAUGAUUCUGUGAUCCUAAAUGAAACAGAAAGCUCCCCAUUAAUGUUAUUUGUCAGAAGUCCUUAGUAUCAUAUUUGCUUUUUAGCCUUACUCAUCAAAAUCCAGAGGGGAAAAAGGCCCACAGUCUUCUGAUUAAAUGAGGUUUGACAGGACUUUCCUCGAGAACAAUGGCUUUAAAACCAGUUAAAAAAAAUGCCUCUAAAAAUAAAUGAAAUUGAUCUGUCGCCUUUGAAAAAAAAUCAAUGUUUAGAUGAAAGAAAAGAAUUCUAUUAUUCACCUUCCACCUUCUCAUAAUUAUUUUUGAAGUCUGGGUUUCCCUAAGGAAGCCAUUUUAGUCAGUUCUUUUUAAAUGAGGAGAGUUCCUUCUAUUCUUUCAUUCCAGUGCUUUUUGUGUCUGUUGUGAAAGAGAAUGUAAAUCUAAGUUCCAAGACCAAGAAAAUAGCAUGAAAUUUGCAAUGAAGUAUGUUCUUCCUGCUGCCAUAUAGCUUAUUGGGGUUGCCCUCAUUUACUUGUGUAUUCAAUAACUGUUGAAGCUUCCACUGGCUGAACUAAGUCAUAUAAGACAUAAAGGAACUUUAACUAAUCCCAUCUCUGUAAAGCCUAGUAAACUCAAAAUAGUAAUGUACAUCACUACAAGUACAAAGUACCCUCAAUGGGCUCACUUCUUUUCCUUUUCUAAUGACACUUUAGGGUAUGUUUCCACACCUGAACAUCAGAUAGGAUGCUCACC
This 1125-nucleotide long non-coding RNA is filed under the name Gallus gallus (chicken). Its description in RNAcentral is "lncRNA (ENSGALG00010018755.1)". The record is from RNAcentral. Lineage: Eukaryota; Metazoa; Chordata; Aves; Galliformes; Phasianidae.